Molecule: ribosomal RNA, 274 nt
Filed under: uncultured bacterium
Lineage: Bacteria
Description: partial 16S ribosomal RNA
Rfam family: Bacterial small subunit ribosomal RNA
Source: RNAcentral
AUACGGGGGGUGCAAACGUUGCUCGGAAUCAUUGGGCGUAAAGCGUACGUAGGCGGACUAUUAAGUCUGAUGUGAAAGCCCGGGGCUCAACCUCGGAAUGCCAUUGGAAACUGGUAGUCUUGAGAAUAGGAGGGGUAAGUGGUAUUUCUGGUGUAGGGGUGAAAUCCGUAGAGAUCAGAAGGAACACCGGUGGCGAAGGCGACUUACUGGACUAUUUCUGACGCUGAUGUACGAAAGCAUGGGGAGCAAACAGGAUUAGAUACCCUAGUAGUCC